This 149-nucleotide unclassified non-coding RNA is filed under the name uncultured Toxicocladosporium. Its description in RNAcentral is "sequence contains ITS2". The record is from RNAcentral. Lineage: Eukaryota; Fungi; Ascomycota; Dothideomycetes; Capnodiales.
CACCACUCAAGCCUCGCUUGGUAUUGGGCGAUGCGGUCCGCCGCACGCCUCAAAUCGACCGGCUGGGUCGAUCGCACCCUCAGCGUUGUGGAAACUAUUCGCUAAAGGAGUUGUGGUCGGUCACGCCGUGAAACAAACCAAUUUUCAAU